This 93-nucleotide transfer RNA is filed under the name Sporisorium scitamineum. Its description in RNAcentral is "transfer RNA-Leu(CAG)". It matches the Rfam family "tRNA". Rfam says of the family: Transfer RNA (tRNA) molecules are approximately 80 nucleotides in length. Their secondary structure includes four short double-helical elements and three loops (D, anti-codon, and T loops). The record is from RNAcentral. Lineage: Eukaryota; Fungi; Basidiomycota; Ustilaginomycetes; Ustilaginales; Ustilaginaceae.
GGCAAGAUGGCCGAGUGGUCUAAGGCGCUGUGUUCAGGAGAUCCUCAGUCUCGUCGCAGUCUUCGGGCGUGGGUUCGAAUCCCACUCUUGUCA